AUGCUUGCUGGAAGGGUCUCUGCGCCGGCCACCACAGUGUCCUGUGCUGAUCAGAGCUGGGCUCUGCACCUGCCUCGAGCUAGCUGGCUUUCAGAAGCUCUAAGAGGAAGCAGCGGCUCAGGGGGAGUGGGCUUGGGCGUUUCCAGGAGAGCCCACCACGUCCCCCUCAUUCUGGAAGCCAUUCCCCAUGGUGAUGAGGUCAUGGGGGACGCCUGGGCCAUCAGCUGGGGUCCUACUGCCCACCUGUGGGAGAAGUGGUGUGCCCACAGCCACAGUGGGAGCUUCCAGUCCACGGCGGGGUGCAGGUGGCCUGUGGACUUUCACCCCUGGCCACAGCAACACCUCCUGGAGCUACUCCCAGUGUUUUCCAGAAUAUAUAAACAAACCCUUGGAGUGAGAAUACCACCAGCCCCGCAGCGGGAAGCCCUGUGCUGUCUGGGCAGCAUUAGUUCAUGGUCUCCUGCGGCCGAGGGAAAAGGAGAUUCCUGGAAGCCAAGCCAAGCACCUGAGGGUCAGAAUGUGUUCCCAGGCCCUGGCCUCCCCGCUCCUGAGGGUCCCUGCCCAGAGCCUGAGUGCGGGGUGCUUCUGACCGGGACCAGCAGGUGCCAACUGUCCAUGCUAUCAACUGCCACGACCAGCGUGGGCUCAGAAGGAGCCACCAGCAGCGUGGCGGCCUUCCUCGGGCAGUCGGGGCCUCUGCAGAGGAUCUCCAUGUGCCCAGCGAGGGAGCCCGAGGGCAGAGGGCGGCACCGGCAUGGGAGCUGGGGCGGUAAGACACACGCAGCCCAGAAGGGACCAGCACACAGGGCCUCGGCGUUAAACUCAAAGUUGUGCGACUCUCACCUCCAUCCAGUCCACAGCUCUUCUCCUGCUAGAUGGACACCCGGUCCCUACUACACGGUCGCUCCCUGUCCCGCCCUCCCCAGCCCUGGAGACCAGCGUGUACUCUGUCUCCGUGAGCCUGACGACUCUGGGACCUCCUCCAAGGGGAACGUUCCCGUCCUGGGUGUCACGUGUUUCGCUGGGGACGACGCCAUCAAGGUUCGCGCACGCUGCGGCAGGCUCUGGAAUUGCCUCCGUCUUUGA
This 1086-nucleotide long non-coding RNA is filed under the name Oryctolagus cuniculus (rabbit). RNAcentral describes it as "lncRNA (ENSOCUG00000029878.1)". Lineage: Eukaryota; Metazoa; Chordata; Mammalia; Lagomorpha; Leporidae. The record is from RNAcentral.